Molecule: ribosomal RNA, 1029 nt
Filed under: uncultured archaeon
Lineage: Archaea
Description: bacterial SSU rRNA
Rfam family: Archaeal small subunit ribosomal RNA
Source: RNAcentral
UGGGGCGCAGCAGGCGAGAAAACUUUGCAAUGUGCGAAAGCAAGACAAGGUUAAUCCGAGUGGUUUCUGCUAAAGAAACCUUUUGUCGGUCCUAGAAACACCGAUGAAUAAGGGGUGGGCAAGUUCUGGUGUCAGCCGCCGCGGUAAAACCAGCACCUCAAGUGGUCAGGAUGAUUAUUGGGCCUAAAGCAUCCGUAGCCGGCUCUGUAAGUUUUCGGUUAAAUCUGUACGCUCAACGUACAGGCUGCCGGGAAUACUGCAGAGCUAGGGAGUGGGAGAGGUAGACGGUACUCGGUAGGAAGGGGUAAAAUCCUUUGAUCUAUUGAUGACCACCUGUGGCGAAGGCGGUCUACCAGAACACGUCCGACGGUGAGGGAUGAAAGCUGGGGGAGCAAACCGGAUUAGAUACCCGGGUAGUCCCAGCUGUAAACUAUGCAAACUCAGUGAUGCAUUGGCUUGUGGCCAAUGCAGUGCUGCAGGGAAGCCGUUAAGUUUGCCGCCUGGGAAGUACGUACGCAAGUAUGAAACUUAAAGAAAUUGGCGGGGGAGCACCACAAGGGGUGGAGCCUGCGGUUUAAUUGGAUUCAACGCCGGACAUCUCACCGGGGGCGACGGCAGAGUGAAGGCCAAGUUGACGACUUUGCCGGACUCGCCGAGAGGUGGUGCAUGGCCGCCGUCAGCUCGUAUCGUGAGACGUCCUGUCAAGUCAGGUAACGAGCGAGACCCUUAUCCUUAGUUGCCAGCGGAUCCCUCUGGGAUGCCGGGCACUCUAAGGAGACCGCUGUCGAUAAGGCAGAGGAAGGAGAGGGCGACGGUAGGUCCGUAUGCCCCGAAUCCCCCGGGCAACACGCGGGCUACAAUGCGCGGGACAGAGGGCUGCGACCCCGAGAGGGAAGCCGAUCCCUAAACCUGCGCCUAGUUCGGAUCGAGGGCUGCAACUCGCCCUCGUGAAGCUGGAAUCCCUAGUAAUCGCGUGUCACUAUCGCGCGGUGAAUACGUCCCUGCUCCUUGCACACACCGCCCGUCAAG